RNAcentral lists this long non-coding RNA (1959 nucleotides) under Equus caballus (horse). Its description in RNAcentral is "lncRNA (ENSECAG00000041666.2)". Lineage: Eukaryota; Metazoa; Chordata; Mammalia; Perissodactyla; Equidae. The record is from RNAcentral.
UUAAUUCCUAAGUAUUUUAUUUUUGGAUGCUAUUGUAAGUGGAAUUGUUUUGUAAUUUCCUUUUCAGAUUGUUCAUUGUUAGUGUAUAGAAAUGGAACUGAUAUUUGUGUGUUGACUUUGUAUCCUGUUACUUUGCUGAAUUUAUUUUCUUUGUUAGUUCUAACAGUGUUUCCGCUCCCUCCCCUUUUUUAAAGUCCCUUUUAAGAUGAGUAAACAGAGUCCCAGAGUGGUGAAGAGACUGGUCACCAAGGUCACAUGGUCUCUCAUGUCUAGUUCAGUUGUCUAUGCUUUGUAUUGGCAAAGACCUACUGAAUGCUCUCUGCAGAGUGAGUACAGGACACUUUCUGGCUUCUUGCACACACGGAUGUAACUGUGAGUGUGCUAUGUGAGAUCCAUGUAAAUGGAAGAAUCCGGGAGCAUUAUAUUCCAUUAAUAACAAGAGUUUGUGUAAAAACGGCAGUUUGCUCUUGACAUAAAGUGCUCUGACGUGGAAUGCUUCUUCCUUUCUUAACCUUUCAGAUCUCCUGAUUGCCUUACAGUGUAGAUCUUCACACUCAAUCAAUUCUGCUUGCUUCUAAGGAGGCAUUUCUGUUUUCAAAAGGGGGGUUCAUGAGGGCAGUGAUAGCAGCAGUAGAAGGUCUGGGUAUGUUAGCUAGGACUUUCUUAGUGGCAGGUGAAAAAAACUGAAUGUGAACCAGGGAAACCAGAAAAGGGCAGCGUGGCGUUGGCUUUAGGGACUCCUGGAAUCAGGGACUUGAAUGUCGUGAGGACUCCUGCUCUCCACUGUUUGUCUUGGCUUCUUGGAGCAUCAGCUUGUUUGCUUGGACUGGCUUCUCAAGUGACGGGGCCAUUGUUGCUGCAGCUCUAGCCUAGCGUGUUUACAGUUCCAAGACAGAGAGGAAAGACCCUCUUUCCUCAGCUCGAGUUUGAAUAAACCCAGCAUAGAAUUCUGAUUGGCUGGACUUUGGUCACAUGUCUAUUUGUGGACCAAUCCCAGUGACUGAGGGUUGAGACUUUGUGAUUGGCCCAUCCUGGAUCAGGUGCCCACCUCUUGCCGCAUGUUAGAAACACCCGUCAGAACCACAUGGUUUGAAAAAGGCUCCAUCUACAGAGGCUGUUUUGGGCACCUAUUUUAGUAAUUUUUUCUUUGAAGUCUUCUUUCCCUCUGUCUGCGUAUAUAUAUGUAUUUAUAAAAUGACAUCAAGGAGAGAGAGCCUCUGUUAUGUCCUAAUCUCUCUUUGCCGCGUGGUUGCAACUGCACAUUCUUAACAAAGCAAGACUUAGUCUGGAAUCUGGAAGGAGGAAGAGAAAGUGAUGAUGAGCCAGUCCCGGUUUGGAACUCUGGAAUCCAGGUGACUGGAUCAUUCUCUUUCCCCGAGUUCCUUCACCAGUUUCUGUGUAUGGAGGAGACUGGAAAUGUCCACGUGCCUCCCUCAACCCCAAGGAGGAUAGGGAAGGGGAGUGAAUGAGAGCCCCAGGGCCUGCUUUAGGAUCGGGCAUGGCAAAAGGAAAGUGCCCCCUUGGGCCACAUAGACCAGUGGCCAGAUGAAGGAUGCUGCAGAGCUCAAGAGAGUCAGCCAGGGAGAACUACCAGGUCACUGUGGAGCUGCAAGAGGCCGCCCAGCUCAGCCCAGCCACGGGCUUCUGCAGGAGAGACCAGCACCCCUCCAGAUGCUGGCUGUUCCCUAAAAGUUACCAGUGCAGGAACAAGCCCAGUCUAGGCAUUUUGCAGCGGGGGACACCAUGUGGAACCAAGGACUCCUUCCCUUCCUUGAACAUCAUCUUGGGAAAGAGAAGAAGCAAGGACAUCUGAAAGACUGAACAUUUAUCCGAAAGCCAUCAAAUUAUCUAAGGACUCUGUUCACAUUUUGGGAUUGGCUUGAGAUUAUAGAAUUGACCUAAGUUUUCUGGUUCCCUCUUUCUGCUUGUAAGGGGAGAAGGGAAUGUGUAACAGAGUUU